Molecule: ribosomal RNA, 1065 nt
Filed under: uncultured cyanobacterium
Lineage: Bacteria; Bacillati; Cyanobacteriota
Description: bacterial SSU rRNA
Rfam family: Bacterial small subunit ribosomal RNA
Source: RNAcentral
GACGGUACCUGAAGAAAAAGCAUCGGCUAACUCCGUGCCAGCAGCCGCGGUAAUACGGAGGAUGCAAGCGUUAUCCGGAAUCAUUGGGCGUAAAGGGUCCGCAGGUGGCCAAUCAAGUCGGCUGUUAAAGACCGGGGCUUAACUCCGGGCAGGCAGUGGAAACUGAUUAGCUAGAGUACGGUAGGGGUAGAGGGAAUUCCCAGUGUAGCGGUGAAAUGCGUAGAUAUUGGGAAGAACACCGGUGGCGAAAGCGCUCUACUAGGCCGAAACUGACACUGAGGGACGAAAGCUAGGGUAGCGAAAGGGAUUAGAUACCCCUGUAGUCUUAGCUGUAAACGAUGGAUAGUAGGUGUAGCUCGUAUCGACCCCAGCUGUGCCAAAGUUAACGCGAUAAGUAUCCCGCCUGGGGGGUACGCACGCAAGUGUGAAACUCAAAGGGAUUGACGGGGGCCCGCACAAGCGGUGGAGUAUGUGGUUUAAUUCGAUGCAACGCGAAGAACCUUACCAGGGCUUGACAUGUCGCGAAUCUAGCGGAAACGUUAGAGUGCCUUAGGGAAUGCGAACACAGGUGGUGCAUGGCUGUCGUCAGCUCGUGUCGUGAGAUGUUGGGUUAAGUCCCGCAACGAGCGCAACCCUCGUCCUUAGUUGCCAAUAUUAAGUUAGGCACUCUAGGGAUACUGCCGGGGACAACUCGGAGGAAGGUGGGGAUGACGUCAAGUCAGCAUGCCCCUUACGUCCUGGGCGACACACGUACUACAAUGGUUGGGACAAAGGGCAGCAAGCUCGCGAGAGUAAGCGAAUCUCAUCAAACCCAGCCACAGUUCAGAUUGCAGGCUGCAACUCGCCUGCAUGAAGUAGGAAUCGCUAGUAAUCGCAGGUCAGCAUACUGCGGUGAAUUCGCUCCCGGGCCUUGUACACACCGCCCGUCACACCAUGGAAGCUGGCUACGCCCGAAGUCGUUACCCUAACCCUAAGGGGAGGGGGAUGCCGAAGGUAGAGCUAGUGACUGGGGUGAAGUCGUAACAAGGUAGCCGUACCUGAAGGUGUGGCUGGAUCACCUCCUUU